This 403-nucleotide ribosomal RNA is filed under the name uncultured bacterium. RNAcentral's name for it is "partial 16S ribosomal RNA". It matches the Rfam family "Bacterial small subunit ribosomal RNA", at positions 28 to 526 of the family's 1533-position model. The record is from RNAcentral.
GACGAACGCUGGCGGCGUGCCUAAUACAUGCAAGUCGAACGCAGUGGGGACGGGUGAGUAACACGUGGGUAACCUCCCAUCAGAGGGGAUAACACUUGGAAACAGGUGCUAAACCGAUACUGAUGGAUGGACACGCGGUGCAUUAGAUAGUUGGUGAGGUAACGGCUUGCGAGGGCCACGAUGCAUAGCCGGCCUGCGGGAGUGAUCGGCCACACUGGGACUGAGACGCGGCCCAGUCUCCUACGAGAGGCAGCAGUAGGAGAUCUUCGGCAAUGGACGAAAGUCUGACCGGGCAACGCCGCGUGAGUGAAGACGGUUUUCGGAUCGUAAAACUCUGUUGUUAGAGAAGCGGUAUCUAACCAGAAAGCCACGGCUGACUACGUGCCAGCAGCCGCGAUAAUUC